RNAcentral lists this ribosomal RNA (253 nucleotides) under uncultured bacterium. Its description in RNAcentral is "partial 16S ribosomal RNA". It matches the Rfam family "Bacterial small subunit ribosomal RNA", at positions 524 to 776 of the family's 1533-position model. The record is from RNAcentral.
UACAGAGACUGCAAGCGUUAUUCGGAUUCACUGGGCGUAAAGGGUGCGCAGGCGGUUGGGUGUGUCAGGUGUGAAAUCCCGAGGCUUAACCUCGGAACUGCGUCUGAAACUACUCGACUAGAGUACUGGAGAGGGAAACGGAAUUCACGGUGUAGCAGUGAAAUGCGUAGAUAUCGUGAGGAACACCAGAGGCGAAGGCGGUUUCCUGGACAGUUACUGACGCUCAGGCACGAAAGCAUGGGGAGCAAAAGGG